UUUUUGUCUAAAAUGAAAGUGGCCGCAUCCGUGUUCAUCCUCAACCUUUAUAUAUGUUAUGUAUUAUCAUCAAAUACAACUUACAUGUCAAUAUUAAGGAUGAACACGAAUGCGGCAGCUUUCGUUUUACACGGAAACCAUCUAAAAUUUAACUAAAAUGCUAGAAUUGAGAAGAUUUCAGUAAUUUAGCAUGACUUAAUGGUGCUAGUACCCGAUAUAUGUGCAUUGUAUUGUCAAAAACAGCACA
This 247-nucleotide long non-coding RNA is filed under the name Mytilus galloprovincialis (Mediterranean mussel). The record is from RNAcentral. Lineage: Eukaryota; Metazoa; Mollusca; Bivalvia; Mytilida; Mytilidae.